GAUGAAGAACGUAGCGAAAUGCGAUGAGUAAUGUGAAUUGCAGAAUUCAGUGAAUCAUCGAAUCUUUGAACGCACAUUGCGCCCGUCAGUAUUCUGGCGGGCAUGCCUGUUCGAGCGUCAUUACGCCCCUCAAGUCCCCUGUGGACUUGGUGUUGGGGAUCGGCGAGGCUGGUUUUCCAGCACAGCCGUCCCUUAAAUUAAUUGGCGGUCUCGCCGUGGCCCUCCUCUGCGCAGUAGUAAAACACUCGCAACAGGAGCCCGGCGCGGUCCACUGCCGUAAAACCCCCCAACUUUUUAUAGUUGACCUCGAAUCAGGUAGGACUACCCGCUGAACUUAAGCAUAUCAAUAAGCGGAGGA
Molecule: unclassified non-coding RNA, 358 nt
Filed under: soil metagenome
Description: partial contains 5.8S ribosomal RNA, internal transcribed spacer 2, and large subunit ribosomal RNA
Rfam family: 5.8S ribosomal RNA (bases 1-120)
Source: RNAcentral